UUAUCGGAGAGUUUGAUCCUGGCUCAGGACGAACGCUGGCGGCGUGCCUAAUACAUUCAAGUCGAGCGGACAGAUGGGA
This 79-nucleotide ribosomal RNA is filed under the name Bacillus spizizenii. RNAcentral's name for it is "partial 16S ribosomal RNA". It matches the Rfam family "Bacterial small subunit ribosomal RNA", at positions 1 to 79 of the family's 1533-position model. Lineage: Bacteria; Bacillati; Bacillota; Bacilli; Caryophanales; Bacillaceae. The record is from RNAcentral.